This 211-nucleotide ribosomal RNA is filed under the name Streptococcus agalactiae STIR-CD-07. Its description in RNAcentral is "partial 16S ribosomal RNA". It matches the Rfam family "Bacterial small subunit ribosomal RNA", at positions 1 to 206 of the family's 1533-position model. The record is from RNAcentral. Lineage: Bacteria; Bacillati; Bacillota; Bacilli; Lactobacillales; Streptococcaceae.
UUUAAUGAGAGUUUGAUCCUGGCUCAGGACGAACGCUGGCGGCGUGCCUAAUACAUGCAAGUAGAACGCUGAGGUUUGGUGUUUACACUAGACUGAUGAGUUGCGAACGGGUGAGUAACGCGUAGGUAACCUGCCUCAUAGCGGGGGAUAACUAUUGGAAACGAUAGCUAAUACCGCAUAAGAGUAAUUAACACAUGUUAGUUAUUUAAAA